UAGGGUUUUAUGAUUUAUAAUUUGAUAUUUUUGUCGUUCCUCUGAUACGAUUAUUGAAUAAAAGGCGAAAAAUUAAUUAUUGAUGUUAAAAGAAUGAGAGAUUCCUGCCGAUGAGGCAUUGGUAUAGUUGGAAAAAGCGGAGGCCUUGGGUUCUGAGUACCUAAAUUUGAGACCAUCAUGUUUAAUAAUAUCGUGGGGUCUUUGAGCCCCUGUUGAUACGUGGGUCUUAGUCUGAUAUAGUCAGCAUUGAUCUCAAUUGUUCCUUAAUCCUUUGUAUUGUAAUAAUUUAUUUUACUUUGUGGUUGAUUUGACAUGUAUUUGUAUUUUUAUACUUUACUUUGUGGUUGUUUUGACAUGUAUUUGUAUUUUUAUACUUUAAUUUUAUCGUACUUGUAACCUUAGAAAAAGAAUGAGAGAUUUGUCAUAUGGGUUACUUUUCCUUAACUAUGGUUUAUAGGCUGAGAAGAUUUCUACACUAAUUAAAGCUGCAAAUGUCUCUGUUGAAUCCUACUGGCCAAGCUUGUUUGCUAAGCUUUUUGAGAAGUGCAACAUUGAGGAUCUCAUAACCAAUGUUGGAGCUGCUGGUGGUGGUGCCCCAGUAGCUGCAGCUGCACCUGUUGCUGCUGGCGGAGGAGCUGGUGCUGCUGCACCACCUCCUGCUGAGGAAAAGAAGAAGGAAGAACCGGAGGAAGAGAGUGAUGACGAUAUGGGAUUCAGUUUGUUUGAUUAGGUGUGUUUUGGUCAAUUACUAGUUAUAUAACAUUAAGGUAGUGACUCUUUUAGAGUUGUAUUGCUAUUGGUAUUUGCAUGUUAAUUAGAAAUAUUACGUUUUUGUUGAAUGAAGUUGACACUAAGUAGCUCUUUCUUUUGUGAUCUGUUUUUCUGAAUCUUCCUACAUAUAGUAAGUAUUAUAGAUUCUGG
RNAcentral lists this long non-coding RNA (921 nucleotides) under Gossypium barbadense (sea-island cotton). RNAcentral describes it as "long non-coding RNA (GBAR_LNC011660)". Lineage: Eukaryota; Viridiplantae; Streptophyta; Magnoliopsida; Malvales; Malvaceae. The record is from RNAcentral.